CAGUUAUUGGGUAUCAAAACCUAAUAGCGAAAUUAACAUAACUUUUAUGGGAUUAGUUUUUAGAUUAUUUAUAGUCUAUUAAUUCAAUCCCGGGGCGUUCUAUAUAGUUAUGUAUAAUAAUAUUUAUAUUAUUUAUACCUCUAACUAGAGCGUACCUUGAGCAUAUAUGCUGUGACCCGAAAGAUGGUGAACUAUACUUGAUCAGGUUGAAGUCAGGGGAAACCCUGAUGGAAGACCGAAACAGUUCUGACGUGCAAAUCGAUUGUCAGAAUUGAGUAUAGGGGCGAAAGACCAAUCGAACCAUCUAGUAGCUGGUUCCCUCCGAAGUUUCCCUCAGGAUAGCUGGUGCAUUUAAAUAUUAUGUAAAAUAAUCUUAUCUGGUAAAGCGAAUGAUUAGAGGCCUUAGGGUCGAAACGACCUUAACCUAUUCUCAAACUUUAAAUGGGUAAGAACCUCACCUUUCUUGGUAUGAAGGUUGUGGUUGUGAUAUAAUGUGCCCAGUGGGCCACUUUUGGUAAGCAGAACUGGCGCUGUGGGAUGAACCAAACGUAAUGUUACGGUGCCCAAAUUAACAACUCAUGCAGAUACCAUGAAAGGCGUUGGUUGCUUAAAACAGCAGGACGGUGGACAUGGAAGUCGUAAUCCGCU
This 648-nucleotide ribosomal RNA is filed under the name Ravinia pusiola. RNAcentral describes it as "eukaryotic LSU rRNA". It matches the Rfam family "Eukaryotic large subunit ribosomal RNA", at positions 688 to 1272 of the family's 3401-position model. The record is from RNAcentral. Lineage: Eukaryota; Metazoa; Arthropoda; Insecta; Diptera; Sarcophagidae.